Molecule: ribosomal RNA, 253 nt
Filed under: uncultured bacterium
Lineage: Bacteria
Description: partial 16S ribosomal RNA
Rfam family: Bacterial small subunit ribosomal RNA
Source: RNAcentral
UACGUAGGGACCAAGCGUUGUUCGGAUUUACUGGGCGUAAAGGGCGCGUAGGCGGCAAUUCAAGUCAGUUGUGAAAUCUCCGAGCUUAACUCGGAACGGUCAACUGAUACUGUUUUGCUAGAGUACAGAAGGGGCAAUCAGAAUUCUUGGUGUAGCGGUGAAAUGCGUAGAUAUCAAGAGGAACACCUGAGGUGAAGACGGGUUGCUGGGCUGAUACUGACGCUGAGGCGCGAAAGCUAGGGUAGCAAACGGG